UACACGAGUGGCGCACGGGUGAGUAACGCGUGGAUAUCUGCCUUUUGGUUCGGAAUAACUCCGGGAAACUGGAGCUAAUACCGGAUGGUUCCUUCGGGAUAAAGAUUUAUCGCCAAAAGAUGAGUCCGCGUACGAUUAGCUAGUUGGUGAGGUAAUGGCUCACCAAGGCGACGAUCGUUAGCUGGUCUGAGAGGACGAUCAGCCACACUGGGACUGAGACACGGCCCAGACUCCUACGGGAGGCAGCAGUGGGGAAUAUUGGACAAUGGGGGCAACCCUGAUCCAGCCAUGCCGCGUGAGUGAUGAAGGCCUUCGGGUUGUAAAGCUCUUUUGGCGGGGACGAUGAUGACGGUACCCGCAGAAUAAGCCCCGGCUAACUUCGUGCCAGCAGCCGCGGUAAGACGAAGGGGGCUAGCGUUGUUCGGAAUUACUGGGCGUAAAGCGAGUGUAGGUGGUUGUCAUAGUCAGGUGUGAAAGCCUUGAGCUCAACUCAAGA
RNAcentral lists this ribosomal RNA (496 nucleotides) under uncultured Alphaproteobacteria bacterium. RNAcentral describes it as "bacterial SSU rRNA". It matches the Rfam family "Bacterial small subunit ribosomal RNA", at positions 88 to 619 of the family's 1533-position model. The record is from RNAcentral. Lineage: Bacteria; Pseudomonadati; Pseudomonadota; Alphaproteobacteria.